This 468-nucleotide ribosomal RNA is filed under the name uncultured bacterium. RNAcentral's name for it is "partial 16S ribosomal RNA". It matches the Rfam family "Bacterial small subunit ribosomal RNA", at positions 28 to 507 of the family's 1533-position model. The record is from RNAcentral.
GACGAACGCUGGCGGCGUGCUUAACACAUGCAAGUCGAACGGAAAGGCCCUGCUUUUGUGGGGUGCUCGAGUGGCGAACGGGUGAGUAACACGUGAGUAACCUGCCCUUGACUUUGGGAUAACUUCAGGAAACUGGGGCUAAUAUCGGAUAGGAGCUCCUGCUGCACGGUGGGGGUUGGAAAGUUUCGGCGGUUGGGGAUGGACUCGCGGCUUAUCAGCGUGUUGGUGGGGUAGUGGGUUACCAAGGCUUUGACGGGUAGCCGGCCUGGGAGGGUGACAGGCCACAUUGGGACUGAGGUACGGCCAAGACUCCUACGGGAGGCAGCAGUGGGAAAUAUUGCAAGAUGGGCGGAAGCCUGAUGCAGCAACGCCGCGUGCGGGAUGACGGCCUUCGGGUUGUAAACCGCUUUCGCCUGUGACGAAGCGUGAGUGACGGUAAUGGGUAAAGAAGCACCGGCUAACUACGUG